This 440-nucleotide ribosomal RNA is filed under the name uncultured bacterium. Its description in RNAcentral is "bacterial SSU rRNA". It matches the Rfam family "Bacterial small subunit ribosomal RNA", at positions 338 to 795 of the family's 1533-position model. The record is from RNAcentral.
CCUACGGGAGGCAGCAGUGGGGAAUAUUGCACAAUGGGGGAAACCCUGAUGCAGCAACGCCGCGUGAGCGAUGACGGCCUUCGGGUCGUAAAGCUCUGUCCUAAGGGAAGAAUACUGACGGUACCUUAGGAGGAAGCCCCGGCUAACUACGUGCCAGCACCCGCGGUCAUACGUAGGGGGCUAGCGUUAUCCGGAAUUACUGGGCGGAAAGGGUGCGUAGGCGGCCCUUCAAGUCAGAGGUGAAAGGCUACGGCUCAACCGUAGUAAGCCUUUGAAACUGUAGGGCUUGAGUGCAGGAGAGGAGAGUGGAAAUCCCAGUGGAGCGGUGAAAUGCGUAGAUAAUGGGAGGUACAGCAGAUGCGAAGGGGUCUCUCUGGCCUGUAACAGACGCUGAGGCACGAAAGCGUGGGGAGCGAACAGGAUUAGAUACCCCAGUAGUC